Molecule: long non-coding RNA, 1265 nt
Filed under: Homo sapiens (human)
Lineage: Eukaryota; Metazoa; Chordata; Mammalia; Primates; Hominidae
Description: HSALNT0144596
Source: RNAcentral
UUUAACAGAAAAUCCUUCAAAGACUCAAUCAACAAGACAAGACUCACACAAUGGAAGGAUAGUCCCUGCUCAUGAGAGAUGAAGCUGGAAAGGCAAGCUGCAUCUGCACAUCUCCACCAGGGCAAUGCUGUGAGAUGUGGGUGCGAGUCAAAACUUGGAGCAAACCUCUCUUGACAGAUAAACUCUCUUGGCAGCAUAUUUAUUUCAGGGAUGCUCAUCUCUGGCCUGCAUAGUGGAAUUGCACAAGUAAUGCAGAACCACUUGAUAUGCCCUGGGGAAAUGCAAGACUGAGAUUCAGCCCUACAACAAGAGGCACAGCUGCCACAGAAACACAUUGCCCACUGGUGUGGAGACAAGAAAUGAGAUAGUGUGUUGGUCCAAGAAUUCCUGCCAAUGUGGUAAUGAAGAAAUGACCUGGACACCCCUCAGCUAAUCUCAAGAGCAGCCUACCACCAUGACAAAGGCUGUCGGGAUCCCUGCAUUAGAUCCCCUUGCCACUACACAGAAGACUCGAACACAUGCUCUCCCUUUCCUUGCCUUGAAGUGUCCUCCUAGAACCUGCUAUGGCACGCAAGAAAAAAUACAGUCUGCAGAGUCUACUUCCAAUAUCACAAACAAGGAGAAGCAGAGGGAGUAUGGAACUGAGAAUCAGUAAAUUAAUAAACCUCAGAGUCCAUCCUUUGGUUGACUUAGCAUCCAUGAGUACUCUUCUACACAUGCUUUCUAUUUUAAAAAAAAAAUCAAUGUUUUUACUUUACAAGAGGCAGCUAACCUCUAUAGAAGUGUCCAGGCUCACACAUUCUCCCCCAAAUGAGAAAACACACAUUCCAGACAGUCAUUGUAUUAAUUGCUGGCUAUAUUAUUUACUUCUCAAAAUUAAUCACAGUGCCAAUAAAUAUUCUGGUACUAAAUAAUAAUGUGAAAUUUAACCUGUAGAAAACUUGUGAUAUGGUUGCUGCUGUGUCCCCACCCAAAUCUCAUCUCGAAUUGUAAUCCCCAUGUGUCAAGGGAGGGACCUGGUGAGGGGUGGUUAAAUCAUGAGGGUUGUUUUCUUCCAUGAUGUUCUCAUGAUAUGAGGGAGUUCUCAUGGGAUCUGAUGGUUUAAAAGUGGCAAUUUCCCCUGGGCUCUCUCUCUCUCUCUCUCUCCUGCUGCCUUGUGAAGAAGGUACCUGCUUCCCCUUCGCCUUCCACCAUGAUUGUAAGUUUCAUGAGGCCUUCAGAGCCAUGAGGAACUGUGAAUCGAUUAAACCUCUUUCCUUCAUAAA